This 210-nucleotide ribosomal RNA is filed under the name Triticum aestivum (bread wheat). RNAcentral describes it as "partial small subunit ribosomal RNA". The record is from RNAcentral. Lineage: Eukaryota; Viridiplantae; Streptophyta; Magnoliopsida; Poales; Poaceae.
AUGACUAGUACUCAACGCAGUGAAAGCGCCAAUCACAUGCUUAAAAGUUAUGUCCUCCCGGGCUGUCCGAUGCAUUUGUUCAUAAAGCAAUAUGAGAAGCUCCAGAUUGACAAGGACUCUGAAGAGAGUUUCCAGGAGAAAAGCACUGCACUGAAUAGUGUUUUGCUAAGAGUAAAUCUCCCAAUUGAGAGGCAUGCUACCAAUGUUUGA